Molecule: ribosomal RNA, 549 nt
Filed under: Rhizophagus clarus
Lineage: Eukaryota; Fungi; Glomeromycota; Glomeromycetes; Glomerales; Glomeraceae
Description: SSU rRNA
Rfam family: Eukaryotic small subunit ribosomal RNA
Source: RNAcentral
UUGGAGGGCAAGUCUGGUGCCAGCAACCGCGGUAAUUCCAGCUCCCAUAGCGUAUAUUAAGUUGUUGCAGUUAAAAAGCUCGUAGUUGAAUUUCGGGAUCAAUGUUUCGGUCAUGCCGUUGGUAUGUACUGAUAUUAUUGAUUUCUCACCUUCUAAAGAACCGUAAUGCCAUUAAUUUGGUGUCACGGGGAAUUAGGACUGUUACCUUGAAAAAAUUAGAGUGUUUAAAGCAGGCUCACGCUUGAAUACAUUAGCAUGGAAUAAUGAAAUAGGACAUCCGAUUCUAUUUUGUUGGUUUCUAGGAUCGAUGUAAUGAUUAAUAGGGAUAGUUGGGGGCAUUAGUAUUCAAUUGUCAGAGGUGAAAUUCUUGGAUUUAUUGAAGACUAACUACUGCGAAAGCAUUUGCCAAGGAUGUUUUCAUUAAUCAAGAACGAAAGUUAGGGGAUCGAAGACGAUCAGAUACCGUCGUAGUCUUAACCAUAAACUAUGCCGACUAGGGAUCGGAUGAUGUUAAUUUUUUAAUGACUCAUUCGGCGCCUUACGGAAACA